Molecule: ribosomal RNA, 450 nt
Filed under: uncultured bacterium
Lineage: Bacteria
Description: bacterial SSU rRNA
Rfam family: Bacterial small subunit ribosomal RNA
Source: RNAcentral
GUGGGGAAUAUUGGACAAUGGGCGAAAGCCUGAUCCAGCCAUGCCGCGUGUGUGAAGAAGGUCUUCGGAUUGUAAAGCACUUUAAGUUGGGAGGAAGGGCAGUAAGUUAAUACCUUGCUGUUUUGACGUUACCAACAGAAUAAGCACCGGCUAACUUCGUGCCAGCAGCCGCGGUAAUACGAAGGGUGCAAGCGUUAAUCGGAAUUACUGGGCGUAAAGCGCGCGUAGGUGGUUCAGCAAGUUGGAGGUGAAAUCCCCGGGCUCAACCUGGGAACUGCCGCCAAAACUACUUAGCUAGAGUACGGUAGAGGGUAGUGGAAUUUCCUGUGUAGCGGUGAAAUGCGUAGAUAUAGGAAGGAACACCAGUGGCGAAGGCGACUACCUGGACUGAUACUGACACUGAGGUGCGAAAGCGUGGGGAGCAAACAGGAUUAGAAACCCUAGUAGUCC